CCCGCCGAGGGGCGCUGCGACCAUGGGUCCGACCCAUAGGCCAGGCUCGGCGCGGCGUCCCACCAAACGGCGCCCCCGUGAA
This 82-nucleotide non-coding RNA is filed under the name Luteibacter sp. Its description in RNAcentral is "SAH sequence". It matches the Rfam family "SAH (S-adenosyl-L-homocysteine) riboswitch aptamer". The record is from RNAcentral. Lineage: Bacteria; Pseudomonadati; Pseudomonadota; Gammaproteobacteria; Lysobacterales; Rhodanobacteraceae.